GCCAGACUCCUACGGGAGGCAGCAGUGGGGAAUAUUGCACAAUGGGGGAAACCCUGAUGCAGCAACGCCGCGUGAGUGAGGAAGUAUUUCGGUAUGUAAAGCUCUAUCAGCAGGGAAGAAAAUGACGGUACCUGAGUAAGAAGCCCCGGCUAACUACGUGCCAGCAGCCGCGGUAAUACGUAGGGGGCAAGCGUUAUCCGGAUUUACUGGGUGUAAAGGGAGCGUAGACGGCAGUGCAAGUCUGGAGUGAAAGGCGGGGGCUCACCCCCCGGACUGCUCUGGAACCUGUCCGGCUGGAGUGCAGGAGAGGUAAGUGGAAUUCCUGGUGUAGCGGUGAAAUGCGUAGAUAUUAGGAGGAACCCCAGUGGCGAAGGCGGCUUCCUGGACUGUAACUGACGUUGAGGCUCGAAAGCGUGGGGAGCAAACAGGAU
RNAcentral lists this ribosomal RNA (431 nucleotides) under uncultured bacterium. RNAcentral describes it as "bacterial SSU rRNA". It matches the Rfam family "Bacterial small subunit ribosomal RNA", at positions 330 to 778 of the family's 1533-position model. The record is from RNAcentral.